This is a long non-coding RNA of Colletes gigas, 1148 nucleotides long. RefSeq lists it as uncharacterized. The transcript is spliced from 4 exons. NCBI's taxonomy places the organism in Eukaryota, Metazoa, Arthropoda, Insecta, Hymenoptera, Colletidae. The record is from RefSeq and is a predicted model, not a curated record.
UACUUCAUGGUUCGUAAACUACAAGACAUUCAACAAUGCACGAGAACAGUUUUAAAAAGCGGAGUUUAUAAAUCGCGCGAUAAUCUUGCUGUGGAUUGUACAAAGCGAAGUAUAAUUCAACCUCAAACUAUAUUUACAUGCCUGUUUUAUUUCAUUGAAUUUUUCUUCGCUAAAUGUCGUUUAAUUAUGAACAAAACUCGUGUAGUUUCAUUAAUAUGCAAUUCUAUCGAACAGACGUAUAAGUUUAAUAAUCUAGUAUUUUGAUUAUUUUCAUUAUUCCUAUCGAAGCAAAUUCUAAGGUACGAUUACGUGGCGGUAAAGGUUGCGUUUGUGUACCUCACGUUAAAUUGGUAAAUUGUAUUGUCAUAUUGGGUCUUUCGAUUAAACUUUUCGAAUUCAUUAACAUAUUAAAUUCGUAAUUUGAAGGGUUCAGAUAUUACAGACGUAGCACCGGCAAAAAGAAAAUGUCGUAAACAAUUCUGUUGUCCAUUGAAAGAAUUCAAUGGAAAUUUAAUAGACAUAGAAAACAUGAGAAACAAACAAGACCUUGAUCACCCAAUAGGAAUUGGCAUCAGAAAUUUUCCACAAACACAAUACACGCCAGUGAGAUUCAAAAAAUUAAUAAUACCAAGAAACGGUACAAAAUUAAGGUGUUAUACCUUAAAAAAUAUAACUGAUUUGCCAAAAUUGUCAAACACCGGAAGAGCAUUUAAUAUCAAAGUAAGAAUUAUUAUGUAGUAGAACAAUGUAAUAACAAUUUGUACCGACGAAGAAUAUCAAUAACGUUCUGUGCACGUAAGUAACAAUGCUAUUUGUAACUAUUGCGCAGUAGAAAAUAUUUGGUGAUUCGGAUAAGAAGAAAUUACACUCAAAAUUCAUGACUGAAUUGUCAAGAAAAAGAAACAUAUUGAACGGAACAACCUUAGAGAACAUAAGUAGAGUCAGCAUUCUUCUUUUAUAUCUUCACCUUUUGCUGUAUUAUUAUCUCUCUUUUUCAAAAACACGAUUUGCCAAAUUUUUUGAAACAUGUCCCAUAGAUGACAAUGAAAGUUAAAUAUACAUAUACUAUAAAUGUAUUAAAAAAAAAAAAAGACAAUUAAGUGUUGUUAAUAAGCAGUAUACAUAUAUUCUCUGUUCCAUUUAUUUGA